UACGUAGGGGGCAAGCGUUGUCCGGAAUCAUUGGGCGUAAAGAGCGUGUAGGCGGCUCGAUAAGUCCGCUGUGAAAGUCCAGGGCUCAACCCUGGAAUGCCGGUGGAAACUGUCGGGCUGGAGUCCGGAAGAGGCGAGUGGAAUUCCUGGUGUAGCGGUGAAAUGCGCAGAUAUCAGGAGGAACACCAAUGGCGAAGGCAGCUCGCUGGGACGGUACUGACGCUGAGACGCGAAAGCGUGGGGAGCAAACAGG
Molecule: ribosomal RNA, 253 nt
Filed under: uncultured bacterium
Lineage: Bacteria
Description: partial 16S ribosomal RNA
Rfam family: Bacterial small subunit ribosomal RNA
Source: RNAcentral